This 257-nucleotide long non-coding RNA is filed under the name Hordeum vulgare. RNAcentral describes it as "long non-coding RNA (HVUL_LNC021348)". Lineage: Eukaryota; Viridiplantae; Streptophyta; Magnoliopsida; Poales; Poaceae. The record is from RNAcentral.
GUACUAGGCCUUGAGGGUUUCUAAAGGAGUACUGGAGUUGCUGUAAUGGAAAAUACACACAAUUCAAUGCGAAAUAUAGGCAAGUUUCAGACCGAACGACAAUCAUGCAAAGAAUCUGGAUUGUUUUGUGUAUAUAUUAAAUACGAAAACGUUUAAACGCAACAGGUUUGAACCAACAUAUCAUCUACAUGGGAGCCUUGCGCCCCAUCCCACGGCCAACAGGUGGUCAGCAAACCAACAUCCACCCAACUAGUCUG